Molecule: ribosomal RNA, 465 nt
Filed under: uncultured Klebsiella sp.
Lineage: Bacteria; Pseudomonadati; Pseudomonadota; Gammaproteobacteria; Enterobacterales; Enterobacteriaceae
Description: bacterial SSU rRNA
Rfam family: Bacterial small subunit ribosomal RNA
Source: RNAcentral
CCUACGGGUGGCAGCAGUGGGGAAUAUUGCACAAUGGGCGCAAGCCUGAUGCAGCCAUGCCGCGUGUGUGAAGAAGGCCUUCGGGUUGUAAAGCACUUUCAGCGGGGAGGAAGGCGGGUAGGUUAAUAACCUGAUCGAUUGACGUUACCAGCAGAAGAAGCACCGGCUAACUCCGUGCCAGCAGCCGCGGUAAUACGGAGGGUGCAAGCGUUAAUCGGAAUUACUGGGCGUAAAGCGCACGCAGGCGGUCCGUCAAGUCGGAUGUGAAAUCCCCGGGCUCAACCUGGGAACUGCAUUCGAAACUGGCAGGCUAGAGUCUUGUAGAGGGGGGUAGAAUUCCAGGUGUAGCGGUGAAAUGCGUAGAGAUCUGGAGGAAUACCGGUGGCGAAGGCGGCCCCCUGGACAAAGACUGACGCUCAGGUGCGAAAGCGUGGGGAGCAAACAGGAUUAGAUACCCUUGUAGUC